UCCCUCAUGGCUCAGAUGGUAAAGCAUCUGCCUUCAAUGUGGAAGACUCAGGUUCAAUCCCUGGGUUGGGAA
This 72-nucleotide transfer RNA is filed under the name Bos taurus (domestic cattle). It matches the Rfam family "tRNA". From Rfam's summary of the family: Transfer RNA (tRNA) molecules are approximately 80 nucleotides in length. The record is from Rfam by way of RNAcentral. RNAcentral also lists the same sequence under 3 other names. Lineage: Eukaryota; Metazoa; Chordata; Mammalia; Artiodactyla; Bovidae.